GCGCGCGCUCUCUCUCUCUCUCUCUCUCUCUCUCUCUAUAUAUAUAUAUAUAUAUUUUUUUUUUUUUUUUUGGAGACAGAGUCUUGCUCUGUUGCUCAGGCUAGAGUGUAAUGGCGCGCAAUCUUGGCUCAUUGCAACCUCCGCCUCCCAGGUUCAAGUGAUUCUCCUGCCUCAGCCUCCUGAGUCUGGGAUUACAGUCGUGUGCCACCACGCCCAGCUAAUUUUUGUAUUUUUGGUAGAGGCAGGGUUUCACCAUGUUGGCCAGGUUGGUCUUGAACUCCUGACCUCAGGUGAUCUGCCCGCCUCGGCCUCCCAAAAUGCUGGGAUUAUAGGCGUGAGCUACCGCGGGGAUAGAUGUUGACUUCUAGCUGCUCCAGAACCGCAAGGUAAAAAUGUAUCUAGGAUAUAGCUAGAAAUUUAGGUUUAAUGCUUAGGAGAGAGUACAGGACCAGAGAAAGAGUCAA
This 464-nucleotide long non-coding RNA is filed under the name Homo sapiens (human). RNAcentral's name for it is "non-protein coding lnc-POMGNT1-6:1". Lineage: Eukaryota; Metazoa; Chordata; Mammalia; Primates; Hominidae. The record is from RNAcentral.